CCUACGGGAGGCAGCAGUGGGGAAUUUUGGACAAUGGGCGCAAGCCUGAUCCAGCCAUGCCGCGUGCGGGAAGAAGGCCUUCGGGUUGUAAACCGCUUUUGUCAGGGAAGAAAUCCUUUGGGUUAAUACCUCGGAGGGAUGACGGUACCUGAAGAAUAAGCACCGGCUAACUACGUGCCAGCAGCCGCGGUAAUACGUAGGGUGCGAGCGUUAAUCGGAAUUACUGGGCGUAAAGCGUGCGCAGGCGGUUAUGCAAGACAGAUGUGAAAUCCCCGGGCUCAACCUGGGAACUGCAUUUGUGACUGCAUAGCUAGAGUACGGUAGAGGGGGAUGGAAUUCCGCGUGUAGCAGUGAAAUGCGUAGAUAUGCGGAGGAACACCGAUGGCGAAGGCAAUCCCCUGGACCUGUACUGACGCUCAUGCACGAAAGCGUGGGGAGCAAACAGGAUUAGAUACCCUGGUAGUCCACGCCCUAAACGAUGUCAACUGGUUGUUGGACGGCUUGCUGUUCAGUACGAAGCUAACGCGUGAAGUUGACCGCCUGGGGAGUCGGCCGCAAGGUUGAAACUUAAAGNGAAUUGACGGUGUGAGAGNGACGACGACGACGACGAGGGAGGAGG
RNAcentral lists this ribosomal RNA (619 nucleotides) under uncultured bacterium. RNAcentral's name for it is "bacterial SSU rRNA". It matches the Rfam family "Bacterial small subunit ribosomal RNA", at positions 338 to 951 of the family's 1533-position model. The record is from RNAcentral.